This 433-nucleotide ribosomal RNA is filed under the name uncultured bacterium. Its description in RNAcentral is "partial 16S ribosomal RNA". It matches the Rfam family "Bacterial small subunit ribosomal RNA", at positions 29 to 507 of the family's 1533-position model. The record is from RNAcentral.
AACGAACGCUGGCGGCAUGCCUAACACAUGCAAGUCGAACGAGACCUUCGGGUCUAGUGGCGCACGGGUGCGUAACGCGUGGGAACCUGCCCUUAGGUUCGGAAUAACUCCCCGAAAGGGGUGCUAAUACCGGAUAAUUUCUUCGGACCAAAGAUUUAUCGCCUUUGGAUGGGCCCGCGUUGGAUUAGCUAGUUUGUAGGGUAAAAGCCUACCAAGGCGCCGAUCCAUAGCUGGUCUGAGAGGAUGAUCAGCCACACUGGGACUGAGACACGGACCAGAAUGGGACGGGAGGCAGGGGUAGGGAAUAUGGGACAAGGGGGGAAAGUGUGAGAAAGAAAUGCCGCGUGAGUGAUGAAGGCGUUAGGAUUGUAAAGCUAGUUUAACCGGGAGGAUAAUGACAGUACCGGGAGAAUAAGCACCGGCUAACUCCGUG